This 352-nucleotide ribosomal RNA is filed under the name uncultured Smithella sp. Its description in RNAcentral is "bacterial SSU rRNA". It matches the Rfam family "Bacterial small subunit ribosomal RNA", at positions 1028 to 1382 of the family's 1533-position model. Lineage: Bacteria; Pseudomonadati; Thermodesulfobacteriota; Syntrophia; Syntrophales; Smithellaceae. The record is from RNAcentral.
GGCGAGACAGGUGCUGCAUGGCUGCGUUCAGCUCGUGUCGUGAGAUGUUGGGUUAAGUCCCGCAACGAGCGCAACCCUCAUCCUUAGUUGCCAUCAUUGAGUUGGGCACUCUAAGGAAACUGCCCCGGUUAACGGGGAGGAAGGUGGGAUGACGUCAAGUCCUCAUGGCCUUUAUGUCUAGGGCUACACACGUGCUACAAUGGGUGGUACAAAGAGAAGCCAACUCGCGAGAGCGCGCCAAUCUCAAAAAGCCAUCCUCAGUUCGGAUUGGAGUCUGCAACUCGACUCCAUGAAGUUGGAAUCGCUAGUAGUCGCGGAUCAGCAUGCCGCGGUGAAUACGUUCCCGGGCCUU